GAUGAACGCUGGCGGCGUGCUUAACACAUGCAAGUCGAACGAAGCACUUUAUUUGAUUUCCUUCGGGACUGAUUAUUUUGUGACUGAGUGGCGGACGGGUGAGUAACGCGUGGGUAACCUGCCUUGUACAGGGGGAUAACAGUUGGAAACGGCUGCUAAUACCGCAUAAGCGCACGGCAUCGCAUGGUGCAGUGUGAAAAACUCCGGUGGUAUAAGAUGGACCCGCGUUGGAUUAGCUAGUUGGUGAGGUAACGGCCCACCAAGGCGACGAUCCAUAGCCGACCUGAGAGGGUGACCGGCCACAUUGGGACUGAGACACGGCCCAAACUCCUACGGGAGGCAGCAGUGGGGAAUAUUGCACAAUGGGCGAAAGCCUGAUGCAGCGACGCCGCGUGAGCGAAGAAGUAUUUCGGUAUGUAAAGCUCUAUCAGCAGGGAAGAUAAUGACGGUACCUGACUAAGAAGCACCGGCUAAAUACGUG
Molecule: ribosomal RNA, 481 nt
Filed under: uncultured bacterium
Lineage: Bacteria
Description: partial 16S ribosomal RNA
Rfam family: Bacterial small subunit ribosomal RNA
Source: RNAcentral